RNAcentral lists this ribosomal RNA (371 nucleotides) under uncultured bacterium. RNAcentral's name for it is "partial 16S ribosomal RNA". It matches the Rfam family "Bacterial small subunit ribosomal RNA", at positions 338 to 701 of the family's 1533-position model. The record is from RNAcentral.
CCUUCGGGUGGCAGCAGUAGGGAAUCUUCCACAAUGGGCGAAAGCCUGAUGGAGCAACGCCGCGUGGGUGAAGAAGGUCUUCGGAUCGUAAAACCCUGUUGUUAGAGAAGAAAGUGCGUGAGAGUAACUGUUCACGUUUCGACGGUAUCUAACCAGAAAGCCACGGCUAACUACGUGCCAGCAGCCGCGGUAAUACGUAGGGGGCAAGCGUUAUCCGGAUUUAUUGGGCGUAAAGGGAACGCAGGCGGUCUUUUAAGUCUGAUGUGAAAACCUUCGGCUUAACCGGAGUAGUGCAUUGGAAACUGGGGGACGUGAGUGCAGAGGAGGGGAGGGGAACACCAUGUGUGGCGGUGAGAUGCGUAGAGAGAUGG